RNAcentral lists this ribosomal RNA (578 nucleotides) under Xylaria sp. 2 YHY-2018. RNAcentral describes it as "partial large subunit ribosomal RNA". It matches the Rfam family "Eukaryotic large subunit ribosomal RNA", at positions 56 to 651 of the family's 3401-position model. The record is from RNAcentral. Lineage: Eukaryota; Fungi; Ascomycota; Sordariomycetes; Xylariales; Xylariaceae.
GAAAAGAAACCAACAGGGAUUGCCCUAGUAACGGCGAGUGAAGCGGCAGCAGCUCAAAUUUGAAAUCUGGCCCCCCGGGUCCGAGUUGUAAUUUGCAGAGGAUGCUUUUGGCGCGGUGCCUCCCGAGUUCCCUGGAACGGGACGCCUGAGAGGGUGAGAGCCCCGUACGGUUGGACACCAAGCCUCUGUAAAGCUCCUUCGACGAGUCGAGUAGUUUGGGAAUGCUGCUCUAAAUGGGAGGUAAAUCUCUUCUAAAGCUAAAUACCGGCCAGAGACCGAUAGCGCACAAGUAGAGUGAUCGAAAGAUGAAAAGUACUUUGAAAAGAGGGUUAAAUAGCACGUGAAAUUGUUGAAAGGGAAGCGUUUGCGACCAGACCUCGUCCUGGCGGAUCAGCCGGUGUUAUUCACCGGUGCACUUUGCCAGGUCGAGGCCAGCAUCGGUCCCGGCGGGGGGAUAAAGGCCCGGGGAACGUAGCUCCCUCGGGAGUGUUAUAGCCCCUCGCGCAAUGCCCUCGCGGGGACCGAGGACCGCGCCCUCAUACGGCAAGGAUGCUGGCGUAAUGGUCGUCAACGACCCG